Molecule: ribosomal RNA, 420 nt
Filed under: Bacillus sp. Lgg15.8
Lineage: Bacteria; Bacillati; Bacillota; Bacilli; Caryophanales; Bacillaceae
Description: bacterial SSU rRNA
Rfam family: Bacterial small subunit ribosomal RNA
Source: RNAcentral
CAGGCCUAACACAUGCAAGUCGAGCGAAUGGAUUAAGAGCUUGCUCUUAUGAAGUUAGCGGCGGACGGGUGAGUAACACGUGGGUAACCUACCCAUAAGACUGGGAUAACUCCGGGAAACCGGGGCUAAUACCGGAUAAUAUUUUGAACUGCAUAGUUCGAAAUUGAAAGGCGGCUUCGGCUGUCACUUAUGGAUGGACCCGCGUCGCAUUAGCUAGUUGGUGAGGUAACGGCUCACCAAGGCGACGAUGCGUAGCCGACCUGAGAGGGUGAUCGGCCACACUGGGACUGAGACACGGCCCAGACUCCUACGGGAGGCAGCAGUAGGGAAUCUUCCGCAAUGGACGAAAGUCUGACGGAGCAACGCCGCGUGAGUGAUGAAGGCUUUCGGGUCGUAAAACUCUGUUGUUAGGGAAGAACA